GUAGGUGGCAAGCGUUGUCCGGAAUUAUUGGGCGUAAAGCGCGCGCAGGCGGUUCUUUAAGUCUGAUGUGAAAGCCCACGGCUUAACCGUGGAGGGUCAUUGGAAACUGGAGAACUUGAGUACAGAAGAGGAAAGCGGAAUUCCACGUGUAGCGGUGAAAUGCGUAGAGAUGUGGAGGAACACCAGUGGCGAAGGCGGCUUUCUGGUCUGUAACUGACGCUGAGGCGCGAAAGCGUGGGGAGCAAACAGGGAUUAGAUACCCUGGUAGUCCACGCCGUAAACGAUGAGUGCUAAGUGUUAGGGGGUUUCCGCCCCCUUAGUGCUGCAGCUAACGCAUUAAGCACUCCGCCUGGGGAGUACGGCCGCAAGGCUG
RNAcentral lists this ribosomal RNA (373 nucleotides) under uncultured organism. RNAcentral's name for it is "partial 16S ribosomal RNA". It matches the Rfam family "Bacterial small subunit ribosomal RNA", at positions 527 to 896 of the family's 1533-position model. The record is from RNAcentral.